CACCAGUGAGACUAGUGUUAUUCAUCUUAAUUAGGUUUAAAGGGUACCUAGACUGUAGAUUAAGCCAUUAAACUUUUUAAGUUUAAUCUUUAUAAAACUACAGUAAUGUAUGGUUUUUAUAUAAGAGGUACUAAUUUACUAGAGUUUUAUAUUAGAAGGGGAGUAUUUGAGAGCGUCAGGGAUGAAAUCUAAUCAGACCUUAUUUGAACUUAUAACGGCGAAGGCAACCUUUUAUCUAAAUACUAACGUUGAGGGACGAAGCCUCGAUACACCAAAAGG
This 279-nucleotide ribosomal RNA is filed under the name uncultured bacterium. Its description in RNAcentral is "partial 16S ribosomal RNA". The record is from RNAcentral.